GACGAACGCUGGCGGCGUGCCUAAUACAUGCAAGUCGAGCGAAGCGGGGACGGGUGAGUAACACGUAAGGAACCUCCUAUAAGACUGGGAUAACAUCGGGAAACCGGUGCUAAACCGCAUACUUAUAGAUGGCUUUGCGGUGCAUUAGCUCGUUGGUGGGGUAACGGCUUACCAAGGCAACGAUGCAUAGCCGACCUGAGAGGGGAAACGGCCAAAUUGGGACUGGGACACGGCCCAAACUCCUACGGGGGGCAGCAGUGGGGAAUUUUCCGGAAUGGGCGGAAGCCUGAAGGGGCAAAGCCGCGGGGGGGAAGAAGGUUUUCGGUUCGGAAAGCUUUGUUGAUAGGGAAACGGUAACCUAACAGGAAGCCACGGCUAAAUACGUGCCAGCAGCCGCGGUAAUUC
This 405-nucleotide ribosomal RNA is filed under the name uncultured bacterium. RNAcentral describes it as "partial 16S ribosomal RNA". It matches the Rfam family "Bacterial small subunit ribosomal RNA", at positions 28 to 526 of the family's 1533-position model. The record is from RNAcentral.